UUAAUUCCUCUCCUCUCUCAAGAGUAAAAUGGAGACUAGACUUUCUUUCAAGAUCAAGAAUCAAUCUCGUAAGUCCAAGAUUUCCAAAGAACAAAUCAAGAUUCAAGUUCUACUCUUCAAACCUUAUAAUCUAAGCGACGUAGGAUUUUCCUAAAUCUACAUAGGUAUGAUAUAUUCUUAUUAAUCAUGUUAAAGGUUUAGAAAUUAGGAAUUUCCAAAAAGGGGGUUUUGAAUUUAUAAUUAGAUUCAUGCUUUUAAGGUUUUUGAUGAUAUUAAUUUGGUCUUGAGGCCUUUCCCCCAAAUCUGAUUUAUAACCAUGUUUAAGUAGAUAUAUGUAUGAGUUUGAUGAGUUUGAAUUAUGAAUUGAGAGGAUGAACUAUUUGAAAUCCCUCUCUUAUUUACGAGUCUCUUAACUUCGUAAGAUAUGAUGUGUUCGAAAUGUGAUAUUGGAAAUAUAAUUCAAUAUAAAAGCCUUGACUUUGUUUAUGACUUGAUUAUGAUUUUUGAAUUGAAAUAUACACACACUUAUGAAAAGAAAUUUCAGGGGUUGUUGAAGCUCAUGACCACCAUAUGUUUGUUGAAAUGAUUCAAAAGAAUGACCUUUGCAUAAUUUGAUAAAUGUUUUGGAAGAAUGAAUCCUUCGGAAUUGUUUGAAGUAUGGUGGUCUAACCUUUGUAUUUUGAAAGAGAAAACUGUAAUGGAUAUUUUAUGGCUCAGAAUUAUGACUUGCAAGUCAUGGUAUGACGAUACCAAAUCAGAUAAAGUCAUGAUAACACUCAGAACAGGAUACAAAUUCAAAAAGAUGCAUGUUUAGAAUGGGUUAAAAACUGGGCAAUAAGAGAGUUGGUGGUUACCCGAAUAAGGCACGAGUCAUAUGAUUCAUUUCCUGAAAUCGUAUUUUGCCGAUACGGGUAUAUUAUUUCACACUAGCCUAGUGCCUUGGAGCAUAUUAGAUUCAGAUACUUUAACCCUUGCAGAAAACUUGGGUUAGAGGCUUCGCCGCUGAGUUAAUGGUAGAUCUCAUAUUGCUCGUGGGAAACAUUCAGAUAUGUAGGGUGUACCACUUACCUCAGAAGUAAAAAAAUAAAGAAUGGUUUUACAUCUACAUAUUUGCAUUGAAUGAUUAUUUUAGGUUGCCCAUGUAUUUUAAAUUAUUUCUUGCUUAACAUUUUAAUGAAAUACUCUCACCUAUGCUGUAUAUAAAAGUACAUUAUUUUGGAUUGCUUUGCGUAUCAGUACAUCUGUAUUAACCCCCUCUCCAUCUCAGGAUCUGAGGCACAGUGUCGGGGUCCAGUUCAGCAACAGGUUUGAGUGCGUCGGAAAUUGCAAUUGGUGAGCCUCCCUUACAUUGGAAGGCCUAUAUUAGAACUUGUUAUUGUUAUUUCAUUUUGAUUCAUGGCCCGACUGGGGGCUUAUCCCAAAUGUUAGACAAAUGUCAUUUUCAGUUGUUAGAGAUUUCGCAGACUGAUGUUAGACGUUGUUUAGAGGUUUAUAUUUUCCAUUCCAGAUUGUUCGAUUGAAUUAUGAUAUCGACCAUGAUUCCAUUUUGUUUUGUAUUUCCGCAGUUCCUCUUUGUAAAUGAAUGGUCUAUAUGAUUGCAAGUUAGAAGGGGUCAUGUUUCGGGAUCCCCGUCACGGCCAGGGCCCCGGUUCGGAUUGUGACAGUUCCUUAUCUAGAGUUUGACGAACCUUUUGUAGGAUGUGAAAACAUAUUAUGUUUUUAUAUAAUUGAG
RNAcentral lists this long non-coding RNA (1732 nucleotides) under Capsicum annuum. RNAcentral describes it as "long non-coding RNA (CANN_LNC020727)". Lineage: Eukaryota; Viridiplantae; Streptophyta; Magnoliopsida; Solanales; Solanaceae. The record is from RNAcentral.